AACUAAUACAGCUGCCAAAUCACAUAUGGAGCCAAAUUGCCAGCAAACGGAUUCUUUCUUCAUUGAUAUUCUCAUUUUCUUUUAUUUUAACGACUGAGUUUUUGGAUGUUAAGGAGGGUAUUUCCGAAGAGGCCAGUGUGGCUCACAGAUGGAUCGUUUUCCAGCCAUUGAAAGCUACCUUGGGGGAAGGAAACUACUUAGCCUCCUGUGUGCAAAAGAUCUGUGGUAACAGCAAGGGCCAACAGAGCACAUGUCAGAUGUGCUGACUGGUCCCAAGACAGCAGGCAACAUGAAACAAAAAAGAGAAGUUCAAGACCUCACUGACGACAACAAGCUGCAGCAACAGCUUCCCAGCUGAGUGACACCA
Molecule: long non-coding RNA, 367 nt
Organism: Homo sapiens (human)
Lineage: Eukaryota; Metazoa; Chordata; Mammalia; Primates; Hominidae
Exons: 3
Source: RefSeq, a predicted model, not a curated record